CGCACAUUGCGCCUGCCAGUAUUCUGGCAGGCAUGCCUAUCCGAGCGUGAUUAAAACACAUCGCUGCGCUUGCAGUGGCGCUUGGGCUGCCCUGGAGUACUCCGGGGGGCCUUGAAAAGAUGACUUGCCCUGGGUGUCGCCGGCGCUGCAGACUGCCAGACCGGCGAGCCCGCUGCACUUUUUCCUCGGAUUAGGUAGGAAGACCCGCUGAACUUAA
RNAcentral lists this unclassified non-coding RNA (217 nucleotides) under Ceratocystiopsis manitobensis. RNAcentral describes it as "partial contains 5.8S ribosomal RNA, internal transcribed spacer 2, and large subunit ribosomal RNA". The record is from RNAcentral. Lineage: Eukaryota; Fungi; Ascomycota; Sordariomycetes; Ophiostomatales; Ophiostomataceae.